GACAGAGGGUGCAAACGUUGCUCGGAAUCACUGGGCGUAAAGGGCGUGUAGGCGGGCAGGUAAGUCGGGCGUGAAAUCUCGGAGCUUAACUCCGAAACUGCAUUCGAUACUGCCGUGCUUGAGGACUGGAGAGGAGACUGGAAUUUACGGUGUAGCGGUGAAAUGCGUAGAUAUCGUAAGGAAGACCAGUGGCGAAGGCGGGUCUCUGGACAGUUCCUGACGCUGAGGCACGAAGGCUAGGGGAGCAAACGGG
RNAcentral lists this ribosomal RNA (253 nucleotides) under uncultured bacterium. RNAcentral's name for it is "partial 16S ribosomal RNA". It matches the Rfam family "Bacterial small subunit ribosomal RNA", at positions 524 to 776 of the family's 1533-position model. The record is from RNAcentral.